UUUCUACUACCCCAUUUUGUUGUGUUGUUCUAGGAGCUGAAAAAUUAUGAUUGAUUCCAUAUUUGUCACAAUAUUUCUCAAACAAAUGGUUUUCAAAUUCAGUUCCAUGGUCACUUCUUAUAGAUGAGAUGCAAAAGCCUUUUUCAUUUUGAACCAUCUUACUAAAUGAAAUGAAUUUUUUAAAAGUUUCAUCUUUGUGAGCAAG
This 205-nucleotide unclassified non-coding RNA is filed under the name Hevea brasiliensis (rubber tree). The record is from RNAcentral. Lineage: Eukaryota; Viridiplantae; Streptophyta; Magnoliopsida; Malpighiales; Euphorbiaceae.